AGAAUAAUUAUAUGUGAUGAAAAGGUUCAAGUUUGGAGUUGAAUGGGGAAAGUAAAAAGAAAAGAAAAGCAUUGUGUUCCAAAGAAUGAAAAAGAAAAAUUCAUGAGAAAGGAAAGAAAAGAAGAAAAGAGAAAAAGCAUGUAAAGUGAACUCAAUGUAAAAUGAAAAAGGGAAAAAGUUGGGAAUAAGUGAGAUUGGUUAAAAAGAGAGUGUGCUUGAAAUUUAAAUGAUGAUUUAAACUCUCUUAACUCAAGGAUUUUGUAUUCCAGAAAAACCAAUUUUCUUGAUAGCCCAACCACAAUACAAGCCUUGGAAAAAGUCCUUGUGAUGACAUGUGCAUGUGAAAAUUUUGAUUGUUUUAGAUGAAUGACAAUAUUGUUUUAUGUGACAUGUGAACAGUAGAGAGUAGGGUGACCUC
This 418-nucleotide long non-coding RNA is filed under the name Vigna radiata. Its description in RNAcentral is "long non-coding RNA (VRAD_LNC001950)". The record is from RNAcentral. Lineage: Eukaryota; Viridiplantae; Streptophyta; Magnoliopsida; Fabales; Fabaceae.